Stylophora pistillata is the source of this 250-nucleotide long non-coding RNA. NCBI's taxonomy places the organism in Eukaryota, Metazoa, Cnidaria, Anthozoa, Scleractinia, Pocilloporidae. The record is from RefSeq and is a predicted model, not a curated record.
AGGUGAAAAGAUUUUUAGAGAUGAAGGGGAAAGACGAGUCUGCAACAGCCGAGAAAGUGACUUCGCGGAUUGUGAGAAAGGGUUUUUAUGUAUCACUUAUGUCGAGGACAAUAGGCGUUACGUUGGAUGUCUUGCUCUGGGAGGUAUUGGUGAAUAUGGGCGUAAAAUUCCUCGCGACGAGUCCCGUAAAUCAAAGGAAUAAAACGAUAAAAUGCUUCAAGAAGUAAAGAAUUAAAGUGUUUGAAAAGUA